AGUAAUUGCAACAGGAUUUGGUUAUCUGUCAUGAUCUCUGAUUUUUUUCUGUUGUGGAAAAUGAAGGGAAUUCCAUUGAUAGACGACCGUCGUCAUGGAUUUACCUGCAAACGUUUGUACAUAAUUCCCGACACUCGCUAAGUUACAUCAUUUGGCAGGAACACGUUUCACAACGAAGACAAAUUUAAAAAUUUGCACUAAUAUUGAGCUGUACAAUUUUCUGGGAGAGGUCUCACUGGUCUGUUUGCAACAUUGAAGGUCACGAGCUGCAGAAGAAGGCAUUCGUGCUGUCAGACGGAAGCAAAAACGGUGAAGAAGUGGAGGUUGUUGAAACUUUAAAAGAAUUUCCUAAGUUCAAUAUUCACCUUGGAUAAUACAGAAUUUAUAGAGUUGCCUUCAACGAAUGAAAAGUUACUUCAUGGAUGACGAACGUUACGAGUCUAAAGGUGAAGGAACGGAAUAUUACCCCGACUAUGAAAGAUAUAUUUCAGGAAAAGAAUUGGAGAAGUGUUUUAGGAUGCUCUGUUUGUGAUUAUAUCUUUGAAGCUCAAGGAAAGGUGAAUGGUUUAUAUGUAAAUUGUUGGUCAGUUUUCCUGAAGACAUUCCUGUCAUUGCAACAUGAUUU
This is a long non-coding RNA of Xenia sp. Carnegie-2017, 625 nucleotides long. RefSeq lists it as uncharacterized. Lineage: Eukaryota; Metazoa; Cnidaria; Anthozoa; Malacalcyonacea; Xeniidae. The record is from RefSeq and is a predicted model, not a curated record. The transcript is spliced from 8 exons.